CAGAACUAAUGGAGAAGUCUGACGGAGCACGCCGCGUGAGUGAAGAAGGCCUUCGGGUCGUAAAACUCUGUUGCCGGGGAAGAACAAGUGCCGUUCGAACAGGGCGGCGCCUUGACGGUACCCGGCCAGAAAGCCACGGCUAACUACGUGCCAGCAGCCGCGGUAAUACGUAGGUGGCAAGCGUUGUCCGGAAUUAUUGGGCGUAAAGCGCGCGCAGGCGGCUUCUUAAGUCUGAUGUGAAAUCUUGCGGCUCAACCGCAAGCGGUCAUUGGAAACUGGGAGGCUUGAGUGCAAAAAAGGAGAGUGGAAUUCCACGUGUAGCGGUGAAAUGCGUAAAGAUGUGGAGGAACACCAGUGGCGAAGGCGGCUCUCUGGUCUGUAACUGACGCUGAGGCGCGAAAGCGUGGGGAGCAAACAGGAUUAAAUACCCUGGUAGUCCACGCCGUAAACGAUGAGUGCUAAGUGUUAAAGGGUUUCCGCCCUUUAGUGCUGCAGCUAACGCAUUAAGCACUCCGCCUGGGGAGUACGGCCGCAAGGCUGAAACUCAGAAAUUUUUGCGGG
RNAcentral lists this ribosomal RNA (561 nucleotides) under Heyndrickxia coagulans. RNAcentral describes it as "bacterial SSU rRNA". It matches the Rfam family "Bacterial small subunit ribosomal RNA", at positions 366 to 917 of the family's 1533-position model. Lineage: Bacteria; Bacillati; Bacillota; Bacilli; Caryophanales; Bacillaceae. The record is from RNAcentral.